This 479-nucleotide ribosomal RNA is filed under the name uncultured bacterium. RNAcentral's name for it is "partial 16S ribosomal RNA". It matches the Rfam family "Bacterial small subunit ribosomal RNA", at positions 28 to 507 of the family's 1533-position model. The record is from RNAcentral.
GAUGAACGCUAGCGGGAGGCCUAACACAUGCAAGCCGAGCGGUAGAGAUCUUUCGGGAUCUUGAGAGCGGCGUACGGGUGCGGAACACGUGUGCAACCUGCCUUUAUCAGGGGGAUAGCCUUUCGAAAGGAAGAUUAAUACCCCAUAAUAUAUUGAAUGGCAUCAUUUGAUAUUGAAAACUCCGGUGGAUAGAGAUGGGCACGCGCAAGAUUAGAUAGUUGGUAGGGUAACGGCCUACCAAGUCAGUGAUCUUUAGGGGGCCUGAGAGGGUGAUCCCCCACACUGGUACUGAGACACGGACCAGACUCCUACGGGAGGCAGCAGUGAGGAAUAGUGGACAAUGGGUGAGAGCCUGAUCCAGCCAUCCCGCGUGAAGGACGACGGCCCUAUGGGUUGUAAACUUCUUUUGUAUAGGGAUAAACCUUUCCACGUGUGGAAAGCUGAAGGUACUAUACGAAUAAGCACCGGCUAACUCCGUG